Long non-coding RNA from Cyanistes caeruleus (blue tit), 1728 nucleotides. Lineage: Eukaryota; Metazoa; Chordata; Aves; Passeriformes; Paridae. The record is from Ensembl.
CCGCUUUGCCGUCAGGGUGAGGGAGCCGGGUGGAGGUUUGUACUGGGAGAUAAGAACCUGUCACAUGCGGAUUCCUGCUGCAGAGACGGGGAGCGGCGGCUGGAGACAGUGUGUGCCUUCCUGUGUAUCCGAGGCUGGGCCAGCAAACACGUCUCUCGACGACUGUCCAACCUUUGAAACUUGGAGCUCCCGGCAGGUGCGGUUGGCACUGGUGGAGAUAUCAGUUGCAAAUGGAAGGAACAGUCCUUCAGCCAGGAUGUGGAAGAGAAUUCCUCCCCAAAUACUGAGACUUUCAGUGUCCCAGCUGCCAAAAACCAAAGCCACCUCCUACACCUUCCUGGAUGCGAGAAACCCCAACUGCCCGCUACCCAUCUGUCAAAAUUUAUAGAUCUGCUUGGACAAAUAUUAACAAUUCAGUCAUGCGCAAAGCCUGUGGCAUAUUGAAAAAAUUGGGAGAAGGAUAAAAUACAUUGAAUGUAAUGUGAAAAUAAGCUAUGUGGUGAGUAGUUUACUCUUUUUCCCUGUGUCUCCAUCUGCUUUCCUCUGUCUUCUGCUUAGCUUUGAAAGGCUUUGGGAUGUGUCUUUGUUCUCCAAAUGCUGAAUAUGAUGAUGGAUCACAAUACAUUUAUCUCUGUGCAUUUCUGCCACGCUCAUCCUUUGCCCUGCCUCCUUAGGGCACUUUUGUGUUGGAUGGUAAUUUUUGCAUUUACAUUCUUAAAAGCAGUGGAACAAGUUAGUUAUAGCAUACCUUUUAAUUGUCUAUAAAAAGCAGGCAGUACUUCAGAUAUUAAUUCAGGGAGAGGAUCCUGAAAACCAAAAGGAAAAAUAAGUAGGGAACACACAUCGGAUGCCUGGCACACGUCGAGUCCAACCACAGCUUUUUAACACCUCUGCAGUUGGCUACAGAUCAAACAACUUGCAGAUACCACCCGUCUGCCUCCCAGCACAAUGAUGCUCCUGCCUUGUCUCUCAGUAAAGAGAAGUCUUAGCACUGUAUGGACACAAAUCCUAGCUAGAUGGGGACUGGAGAACUUGGACUAGGAGUAGCAGACAUACCCAAAGACCACCUAGCCCAAACAGAAGUCAGAAGAGAAGCAGAAGAAUGGGAACUGAAGCUAAGCUGUUUAUGCAGGACUUGAGUGAGGCUGGGAGAAAAGACUGACUAGGACAGAGCUCUGUUGUGGAGGUGGGAGGGGAAGAGAUGGUUCUUGGCCCUUGGUAAUGAUCAAGAACAUAAUGGGGAUCUGUAGUGAGAUAAUGUGAAUAGUAUGGGGAAAAAGGCAGGAAACCCUUCUUGACAGAACAGGUAGUAGCAUAGGAAGGAAAUUGUGACUAGAGCUGCUGGCCUAGGUGCAGAAGAAAAGGAUAGUGUGGGAGAAGGAGGACACAAAGACUCUUGAGAGGAUGGAGGAUGAUGACUGAGUUCCUGAAAUGAAGGUGUGGAACUAUGGCACAGGUUUUGACCUGUUGAAGGAAUGCAAGGAGUCAUUGCAAAAGCAGCAAGUCAUAAAACACCCCCUUUACUAUCUCAAUUUCCAUAUUACAGUUUCUAGAAAGAAAAAAGAAAUAUUUUCUCAGAAAAUGCCAUUUCCUCCCAGUAUGUGUGCUGUCCUCUACUUCAAGCCUUACCAGCAGUGCUGCCAUUUGGAAGGAUGCAGAUGUGAAACCACACACAAAAAGAUAAGAUGAUCAAAUAAAGGGCGACUUUCAGAUAACUGGGCUAGGGGC